This 350-nucleotide RNase P RNA is filed under the name Pseudodesulfovibrio sp. RNAcentral describes it as "RNase P RNA component class A". It matches the Rfam family "Bacterial RNase P class A". Rfam says of the family: Ribonuclease P (RNase P) is a ubiquitous endoribonuclease, found in archaea, bacteria and eukarya as well as chloroplasts and mitochondria. Its best characterised activity is the generation of mature 5'-ends of tRNAs by cleaving the 5'-leader elements of precursor-tRNAs. Lineage: Bacteria; Pseudomonadati; Thermodesulfobacteriota; Desulfovibrionia; Desulfovibrionales; Desulfovibrionaceae. The record is from RNAcentral.
GGAGUUGGACAGACUGUCGCUGCGGCCUUCGGGCCGGAGAGGAAAGUCCGGGCUCCGUAGGGCAGGACGCUGGGUAACGCCCAGGGGGAGUGAUCCCCGUCACGUGCAACAGAGAGUAGACCGCCUCCGGUGCAAACCGGCGGUAAGGGUGAAAGGGUGGGGUAAGAGCCCACCGGCUGUCGUGGCGACACGGCAGGCCAGGUGAACUCCGUCCGGAGCAAGCUCAAAUAGGGUGGCGCCAAGGUCGGCCCGACCAUGCCACCGGGUAGAGUGCUUGAGGUAGUUGGUAACAGCUGCCCUAGAUGAAUGACAGUCAUGAUACAAGACCCGGCUUACGUCCGGCUCCAGAU